UAAAAAGAAAGGCAUUUUCGUCAUUUCACUGUGCUUAACUACAGUGUUUAGUUGCAUUGGGUUUUAGUAUAUAUAGAAUUUCCUAAAAUUUGAAAUUUGAAACUAAUUUGCCCUCCAAUUCUUUCUGGCACUUUUGCUGUCAAUGAAGAAGUCUUCAUUUCUUUCUUCAUUGACCUGUGUUGUUAAUUGGUAUAUUUUGUAACGGCUGGUCUGACAAACGAAUCCCAUGUGGAUUAUGAUAUUAUAGUUCUAUAACACAUUUGUUGAUAAGAAGCUGCCAUUUGACUUUUUACUUAGCACAGACAAGCGGGUAAGUAAAGUCUCUAUCUUUUUCAGGUUUUUUGCCUUAAAUUUCCGAUUUUUGCAGUCAUUUCAGUCCUUGUGCUCAUCACCCAUGUCAACCACAGACAGCAUGUUCGAUUCUGAUAUCUGGGUUGCGUUCGGGUUUGGUGCUUUGGUGGGUUUUUCUGAUUUUCAAUUCCUGUGGGUUUACAAGGAAUGUCCUAGAUUGUUUAACCCUCGAUAGAAUAUUUAAGUCCUUUGCCGGAAUUAGUUCAUAAAAGAACUUUUCAUAAUUCAUACACUUUCAAGCUAACUGCAAAUUGUAUUAAUUGGUUUUGGAGAUGACUGGGUUGAAACCACUGCAAAACAAUUUGGGAAUUUGUUGAUAAAUUUUUUAUUCAAUUUUGGUGAUGACUGUUUUGAACCCAAAAGUUUACAGCCUUUUAACUUCCUUAGCUGUUUUGGGAUUUGAAGGGACAGUAAGUUCUCUCUACCAUUCUGCAUUGGGGGUUUUCUUUCAACCUCUAUCUGCAACCUGAAAUACUCUAAUGUACCUAAAACAAAAAAAACAAAAACAAAAAAGGUGUUUGUUACAGUAUUUAUAGAGAUCUAGUUUGGAAAUUGAGCCACUAAUGCUCUUGUUUAGUGUGUAUUGCAAAUAUACCUUCGUGAUUUAUUUUGUUUUCUUAUUGUGUUUUGCAAAUAUGUUAGGUACAGAAUCUUACAGAGCUCUGGAAGAUUCUGUACCUGAUGAAGCUAUUCAACUUUACACUGAUGCUUGUGCUCUUCUUGAAGAUGAUGACAAGGAUCAAAUGGCCUUUGAUCUAUAAUGAGCUGCCACUAGCUGUCUUCUGGCAGCAUUAAUAAUCAGGCAACUAACUGUUAUUCCUUAUGGCUUAAUUGAGGCUAAGGUAUUGGAAAACUGUGGUUUGAGGUUUAAAAUCUAUUAGAAAAGAGUAGGACGACUCUCACGCUUGGAAUCUGGGGCUAAAUAUGAGUCUCUGCUUGUGCCAUUGUUUUCAACUUUAAGUUCUUACUGGAUCUAUAAAAUGUUCUUGCUGCUGCUUUUCUGUUGAGAUGGGGCUUAGCAGCUGAUAAGUGCAAUGCUACUAAUACCAAUGCUGAUAAGGUGUGGAAGUAUUUCUUUUGGCACUAAUCUUUAUCAAUAUUUUGGAUGUAUUUAGAAAUUAGAUAUAUUGUAUGUCCUGGACUAGUGUAGAGGUAUUGGUAUUUGAUAUGAAGACAAUAUUGAAAUGGUUUCCUACGCUAUACAUACAUGAGGUACUAAGUAAUAUGUAUUUUCUAUUCUUUCCCCUUUCAUUUCCUUGUGGCUUCAUUAGAUAAAGGGACCAAGUUUUGGUUGCAUCUGUAGUAAUUAGCAUUUCUCUUCUCAUGAAAGCUUAUUAUGAGUCAUCUUGUAUUCUUGUAUCCUUGUAGCCUUUUUACAUAUUCCCCGAGUCUUCACUAUUCCACUGUGAAAAGUAAUUCUGUCACACUAUUUACUGUUUAUCCAUAUGUUUUUGUCUCCUUGAAUUCCUUCCUACUAGUUACAAGAACCCAUGAAUGUAAUGACUGUUAGAUCUUGAAGCAAACCUUCACAGUUGGGUGGCAGAGUGUCGAUUUGCAUCCUUUGAUUAUAAAAGAGUCUGAUGUAAACUUCUUAGUUGUGUCCUUGAAUUGGCCUAACGUUGUCUUUGUGAAAAUACAAAUAACUCUUGUGUACAGUCAUUGUAUUUGCUUUCUUAUUUUGAAAGCUAUUUUUUUUCUUUCUUGAUUUCAAGGUGGCUAUCUUUAUGACAUCAAUGGGAAGAAGUAUCUUGAUUUUUUGUUUCCGGAAGAAGUAUCUUUAUGACCCAAGUUCUCUUAUGUACUUUUAUUUUACAUUUUGUAUUAUGAAAGUUUUUUGCUAUACCCGGCAGAAGAGUCAAAUGCUGGUACUCCCAUGUUGAACUUUUGGGGUAAAGUUACUUCAAUGAAGGAUUCUGAUGCAGCUUCUCCUGCGGUUAACUAUGUCUCUUAGAGUGUUGACAAAGUUGCACAGCCACAGUUUCCUUUUGCUUUGUCAGCGGCAGUUGGUGAAUCUGUUGACGUAAAAUCGGGUGCCUUUCACACCUCAAGCCUAAAAGCUGAAGCAGUGUCAUCCUGUGCCCAAGUCUAGAUCAGAUGGUUUCAAAGCAAGUUCAAAUGUCUUUUCCUUGCCGCUUCUAAGUUUUGGGGAGACAUUUGAAGAUGCAUAUGAAGUGAUCUUGAUUUUGGAUGAUCGAGAGCAAUUUGCCACUCAGGGGAUCACGACCUGGGAGAAUAAUUGAGAAUGUUCGUACUCAAUUCAAAAUCAAAAUAGAGGUUAUCUUUGGGAGAGAGCCUUGAGGAUGAUUUGCAGGUUGAGCCGCAAACCAGGUUCAGGCUGUCCAGAAUGUCUGGCAUUAGGGUUCAUACUUUUAUCCUUCAUCAAUGAUUGGGAGUUUACCGAAGGCGACAACUAGCAACUAUUUUCUUUAACAUCUGUAAUAGUUACAUUAAUAUGCUUGGACUUUAGUCAAUCUGAAUGAAACCGAGGUCAGCCUAGCAUCCGAACUUCUUAUGUAUUAUGAAUUUUCAGUAAGAGAAAUCAAACCUUUGUAUAUUAUUUAUCCUGAUAGAGAUGAAAGAGAAUGUGUUGCUACUAUUUCAAUAUUAACAUGGAGGUUUAGAGUUUUACUUUAA
Prunus persica (peach) is the source of this 2985-nucleotide long non-coding RNA. RefSeq lists it as uncharacterized. The transcript is spliced from 4 exons. Lineage: Eukaryota; Viridiplantae; Streptophyta; Magnoliopsida; Rosales; Rosaceae. The record is from RefSeq and is a predicted model, not a curated record.